AAUGAACGCUGGCGGCACGCUUAACACAUGCAAGUCGACCGAGAUCUUCGGAUCUAGUGGCAGACGGGUGCGUAACGCGUGGGAACCUGCCCUUUAGUAAGGAAUAACUCAGGGAAACUUGUGCUAAUACCUUAUAAUCCCUUCGGGGGAAAGCUUUAUGCGCUAAUGGAUGGGCCCGCGUUAGAUUAGCUUGUUGGUGAGGUAAUGGCUCACCAAGGCUACGAUCUAUAGCUGGUCUGAGAGGAUGAUCAGCCACACUGGGACUGAGACACGGCCCAGACUCCUACGGGAGGCAGCAGUGGGGAAUAUUGGACAAUGGGGGCAACCCUGAUCCAGCGAUGCCGCGUGAGUGAUGAAGGCCCUAGGGUUGUAAAACUCUUUCGCCAGGGAAGAUAAUGACGGUACCUGGUAAAGAAGAUCCGGCUAACUCCGUGCCAGCAGCCGCGGUAAUACGGAGGGAUCUAGCGUUAUUCGGAAUAACUGGGCGUAAAGCGAGCGUAGGCGGAUUUGUAAGUUGGAGGUGAAAUCCCAGGGCUUAACCCUGGAACUGCCUUCAAAACUACAUUUCUUGAGUUUGGUAGAGGAGAGUGGAAUUCCUAGUGUAGAGGUGAAAUUCGUAGAUAUUAGGAGGAACACCAGUGGCGAAGGCGACUCUCUGGGCCAAUACUGACGCUGAGGUUCGAAAGCGUGGGGAGCGAACGGGAUUAGAUACCCUGGUAGUCCACGCAGUAAACGAUGAGUGCUAGAUGUUGGGAACAUUAGUUUUCAGUAUCGCAGCUAACGCGUUAAGCACUCCGCCUGGGAAGUACGGCCGCAAGGCUAAAACUCAAAUGAAUUGACGGGGACCCGCACAAGCGGUGGAUCAUGUGGUUUAAUUCGAAGCAACGCGAAGAACCUUACCGGCUCUUGACAUACCAAUCGCGGAUCUAAGAGAUUAGAUCCUUCACUUCGGGUGGAUUGGAUACAGGUGCUGCAUGGCUGUCGUCAGCUCGUGUCGUGAGAUGUUGGGUUAAGUCCCGCAACGAGCGCAACCCCUACCUUCAAUUGCCAGCACGUUAUGGUGGGAACUUUGAAGGAACUGCCGGUGAUAAGCCGGAGGAAGGUGGGGAUGACGUCAAGUCCUCAUGGCCCUUACGGGCCGGGCUACACACGUGAUACAAUGGUGAUUACAAAGGGCUGCUACAGAGCGAUCUCAAGCAAAUCCUUAAAAGUCAUCUCAGUUCGGAUUGCACUCCGCAACUCGAGUGCAUGAAGUUGGAAUCGCUAGUAAUCGUAGAUCAGCGCGCUACGGUGAAUACGUUCCCGGGUCUUGUACACACCGCCCGUCACACCAUGGGAGUUGGUUUUACCUGAAGCUAGUUCGCUAACCGCAAGGAGGCAGCUAACCACGGUAAGAUUAGCGACUGGGGUGAAGUCGUAACAAGGUAACCGUAGGGGAACCUGCGGUCGGAUCACCUCCUUUCU
Molecule: ribosomal RNA, 1464 nt
Filed under: uncultured marine bacterium
Lineage: Bacteria
Description: 16S ribosomal RNA
Rfam family: Bacterial small subunit ribosomal RNA
Source: RNAcentral